GGAGGGUUGACUGAGCGGUCGAAAGUGCGCCCCUGCUAAGGGCGUAGGCGGGAAACUGCCUCGAGGGUUCGAAUCCCUCACCCUCCG
Molecule: transfer RNA, 87 nt
Filed under: Parcubacteria group bacterium
Lineage: Bacteria
Description: tRNA-Ser
Rfam family: tRNA
About the family: Transfer RNA (tRNA) molecules are approximately 80 nucleotides in length.
Source: RNAcentral